This 85-nucleotide transfer RNA is filed under the name Crocuta crocuta (spotted hyena). It matches the Rfam family "tRNA". Rfam says of the family: Transfer RNA (tRNA) molecules are approximately 80 nucleotides in length. Their secondary structure includes four short double-helical elements and three loops (D, anti-codon, and T loops). The record is from Rfam by way of RNAcentral. Lineage: Eukaryota; Metazoa; Chordata; Mammalia; Carnivora; Hyaenidae. RNAcentral also lists the same sequence under 1 other name.
GCCUGGGUGGCUCAGUCGGUUGAGCGUCUGACUUUGGCUCAGGUCAUGAUCUCACAGUUUGUGGGUUUGAGCCCUGCAUUGGGCU